This 258-nucleotide ribosomal RNA is filed under the name uncultured bacterium. RNAcentral describes it as "partial 16S ribosomal RNA". It matches the Rfam family "Bacterial small subunit ribosomal RNA", at positions 524 to 776 of the family's 1533-position model. The record is from RNAcentral.
UACGUAGGGUGCAAGCGUUGUCCGGAAUUAUUGGGCGUAAAGAGCUCGUAGGCGGUUUGUCGCGUCGACUGUGAAAACUGGGGGCUUAACUCUCAGCUUGCAGUUGAUACGGGCAGACUUGAGUUCGGUAGGGGAGACUGGAAUUCCAGGUGACGUAGGCGGUGAAAAUGCGUAGAUAUCUGGAGGAACACCGGUGGCGAAGGCGGCGUUCUGGACUGCAACUGACACUGAGGAACGAAAGCCAGGGGAGCAAACGGG